GUGGGGGGUGAGGACAAGUACAUGUGGGAGGCAGGAGACCAAGGGACAGAGAGGCCAAGGUGGGCACGCUAGGAAGGCAGAAGGAGCCCAUUUUCCCCAACUUGAUGUACUGACUCCUAGAGGCAGGUGUGUUCUGUGGUGGUGAAGAAUGGACUGAAAGUCCUGUAAUUGGAAUACUAUAACCCGCCCUGAGGCCAGGCGCACCAAGUGAACUGCUUUCAGGUUGUAUUUCCGGGCUGGCCAGGCGAGGCACACACAUGAGGGUCCUGAAAGCUGCAAGGCUCAGUGGAAAGAACGGGACACAGGAUCUCCCGCCAGAUGAAGGGAAAGGAUGAACACAAGAGUACUGACAACAAAGAAGACUGGAGGUGACUUUUGUGAGAACACCCGUAACAGUGAGAGCAUCCCUCCGUAUGAACUGGGAAAAGGAAGAGGUGCAGGGGGCGUGGGAGUGCAGGGCAGCGCCCCCUGAGAAGAGGAACGGGCCUUACUCGCAUCUGCUGGUUAGCUCGGAGCCCCCUGCGGCGGAGGCCAAGGGGCCUGUGAAAAAACCAGCUGUCCCACGGCCACAUUCGAUGAUAUGUGGAAGGGAGGAGGUGGAGCAUUACCCUCUAACGUGAGGCUACUUCUCCCGAUGCAGCAGAGAUUGAAAUGUCACAGCAGCAUGAUCAAUUAGAUGAUGUAGAAGAGAGGCAUUUGCUACCUGACCUUAAUCCACAGGGCAAGACUAACUGCAUGGAGAAGACUGAAUACGGAGAGACUGCAAGGCAGAGGAAAGCAACAGAGUAGAGUUUAAACGGGCACAAAGCAGCAUAAAUGUUGACUCAUGAUGAAAAGGACAUCCUCAGGAUAAAGGCUUAUUAUGACAUGCAUUGGUGCACUUACUCGUUCAAUUCUGAGUGAGGACAAAAUAAACAUAAACAUCUCUAACAAAAAAAAAAUAUAGUAGAAAAGGAAGCAGGUAAAUUUUUGCAAAAAGUCUAGAUUUUAGAUCACGUAGCUUGCUGAACCAAAGUGACAGGGAGAAAGAAAGAUGCCAACGAUACCCAUGCCGUCAGAUGUUGGCAGUGGGAAACAUGACUAAGGGACCGUGAUAGCUGUCUUCCUCUCUUUAAAGCCCUAUCCUCAGAAGGAGGGUUAGACACCUUGUGGUGGGAAUGACAGAGGAGGGGUGUGACUUACUGUAAGGAAUGGCUUCCCAAUAUUUGGAACCUGACAAAGGUCGCUGGAGCAGCCCUGCCCAGCUCCCCUGGGGCUGCAUCAAUGGAUAACCGUGGUUGUAGAGGGAUUCUUGCAUUAAAUGAGAUGACUUCAAUCACUCCCUAAUAUGCCCGCUCUGGAGCUUUGCACCCCCUUGGGGAGGUCUAUAAUGGUUUUGAAGCUUGUUGAGGAACAGAACUAAAUGAACUUUGGAGCUGCUUAGGCUUUGAUAGAAUCAGUCCUUCUCGGCCGCAUGUGUGCACAUCAUGGGCCUGGGAAUGGUUGCGAGUCUAUUUUGAUUAUGGACAGCUGGUGUUAGCUAAGGGCUUUAUCAGAUUAGUCAUCCCUAGUAACAACGAUAUGAAGCGUUUCCCCCUGGAUUAUUAGUCGAGAUCUGUUAUGUUUACUCUUUUAGUUUUAUACUUAUUUUUCUUUUCCAUUUAAGCACAACUCAGUGUAAAAGGGUUGUAGUUGGGAAUCUGUUUCCCCAAAUCAGUGACUAUUUGUUUCUAGGAUCCAUUUGGUUGUUUCUAUUUGUGGAGUUCCAUUGUGAGACAUCAAUUUACCGUAGCUGUGGAAAAUUAGCAGGAGGUUCAGAGGAAAGCCAUGGAAAUGAUGAGGACCAGGAAAAUGAAAUGCAACAUGUAUCCUGGGGAGGUGAGGUUGAGGAUAAUGUUUACGCUUGUUUGCAUGUCACUUUCCCUCGCACAGCUACUCAAAUACAUACAUGUUGAUUAACUUGUGUAGGGCUUGUGUACAACUGUGGUCUUCUAGUUUACGAAGGCUAAUGGGGACGAUGUUUUCUAUUGAGACCCGGGUAUGAGCUUCAGGAUGAUCACAUAGUGGGUACUCCAUAUUUAACUCCAUUUAUAUUCAUUGGAUUAAACUGAAUUCAAUGUUAGUUUCAAUACAGGCAUCCUGCUGAUAGUAAAGGUCAUUAAACUUUAAAAUGUGUUCUCAAGGAACACUGUGGCAUCUUCAUUUGAGAACAUCUUUUAAAUUGGAUAGCUAAUUAUCUGUUUAGAAUAAAAGCAGAGAAAUAGUUCUGAGUACUUCAUAAGGACUCAUACAGUUCUUGAUUUCAUUUGUGUGCUUUGCUUGUGUGUAAGCAAAGCAUUAACUCCAUAACUCAGGGGUGAAAUAACACAUGCAUAAAAGAUGAGUAGGUAGAAAGAAACCCCUUAUUUGAAAUCAUUAUUUUUAUCUAAUCAAAAAGUAUAUAAUAGUCCUAGUUCCGCACUAUCAAAUUUCCUCAUAAAAAAUGAUCACAUAUGUUCCUGAGAGUGCCCAACAUGUAUUACAAACCUACUAUUGUCCCCAGGAGAAAUUGAUUCUGGGAAAGAGAAGAUAGAAUAAAACUUUGACUUUUCUUGAAAAAGUAACUGCAUGGAGGACAUAUUGUUUCAGAACAAAUAAUGCCAAUAAGACUUAAUAGUUUCAAGCUGGAAGAUGGUUAUCGUUGUACCACUGGAGAAACUUUCUGUUCUUCUUUUUCUGGUUGAUGGAUACUAUGGUAAACAUUUCAGAGAAGGCUACCUCUCCAAGAUACAUUAUCUCCCUUCUCCUACUACCUCCAUUCUCAGCCAGGAAGUUUAGGUGACAUUGACCCUCCCUCCGGGUAUAUGAUUAGGUGGCUCUGAUUGGUUUAGUCUAAUUGGCACAUCCCAGUCUUCCUGUCCCCAUGGGAAGAGCAUGUGACACAAUCUGGCCAAUGAGAGUGUGAAUUCCAGAAGAGAACUUCUCUUCUGGCUGGUGUGGGGAAGAGAUGUGAGGGCUGACACUGCUGCAGCCAUUUUGCUACAAGGAGGGAGAGCCCAGAUCCUGUGAGAUGAAACUUCUAGCUCUCUGUUCUUUAGUUUGCUCAUCUUUAAAAUGAAGAUGAUAAUAGUACUUUCCUGUAGGUUUGUUGUCGAAAUUAAAUUGUUUAACUUAUAUAAGAUGUUUAGGAUAGUAAGCACCAAUAAAUGAUACUUAUUAGUAGAUAUAGUAUAUUUCCUCUAUUUUAAGGAAAAAAAAAACAUCAUUUCCCUUCCCUGAGCUCAAUAAUGUUUUAGACCUGAGCUGUUUGGUUAAUUGUAUUUAAUUUCAUAAAUUCUUUCUUUUUUAAGAUUUUAUUUAUUUAUUUGAUGGAGAGAGACACAGUGAGAGAGGGAACACAAGCCGGGAGAGUGGGAGAGGGAGA
This is a long non-coding RNA of Zalophus californianus (California sea lion), 3382 nucleotides long. RefSeq lists it as uncharacterized. NCBI's taxonomy places the organism in Eukaryota, Metazoa, Chordata, Mammalia, Carnivora, Otariidae. The transcript has 4 exons. The record is from RefSeq and is a predicted model, not a curated record.